UACCCGGUCUUGGCCGCCAAUCCAAGUUUGUAACCGUUUUCGGGCACGGUUUAUGGUUUCUAAAUCAUUAGAUAAUCACUUAUUCAGCACAAGGCUGAUUGAUAUUUUCAAAUAUCAAAAUAGACAUGUGACAGGUUGUUGACAAUCCGCACGUGACCACGAUCAAAGCUUGUCGCGGCAUGAAACGACUUUCAUCCAGAAUAAAUGGCUCGUUACUCCACAAAUAUGGAAACCCUGGACAUUGCCUUUGUAGUAGGAUGGAUAUAUUGGAUAGAAACAAGCUACGUUUGUCUAUUUGGAGUGGAUCACACUAAAUUACAUUCGACAAUUUGUUCAUAGUGAUUCGUCGAUUUGUCAAAUGUUGGGCUCAAUAAGUAUCUUAUGACAAAAACCAGGGAAAACGUUAACCUAAAAUUACAGUACAGCAAGGUCAGCGCCUUUGGAAAGGUGGUGAGAUAAAGCGUUUCAUUGGACAGGCACCGACAUCGUUUUACAAGACGGAAGCAAUUUUGCUGUUGGAAAUCCUUGGUGAGACUUAGCAGAAUAUUGACAAAACGCAGUAACUUUAAUAUCAAACAAGCACAGCAAAGGCGCAUCCGUUGUCAAACAAGUCUCAAGGAACAAACAAACAAAAGUCCCACAAAAUGACAGAUUAAAAACGUACCUCGUAACUCGGCGGUUCGGUGAUGUCUACGAUUGGGGUGAAGGUGUCAUCUGACAAAAGCAGUACGAUAACAUCAAAUUACACAUUUCAUACAGCCAUUUAGAUAUCAUAAUAACACCGUGUCUAACCAAUCAGCACAACAACGCUAUGUUCUUCCUUUUAGAAUUUGAAUAUAAAUAUUUUUUUGGUCCGACAAGAUUAUGAUAUUUGGGGUGUAGUCCAACAAUACGUAUCUAAAAAAUAAGUUGCAAAGUAUUGGGAUGCCUUGAACCCAGUAAAUUCGCGUGAAUCAAUAAUGCCAAUACUUUUUCGAUUCAAUUUUCCCUAUGAUUUUGCUGAGCAUUGAUUUGGUAAUCAGUAACCUAAAGCGGAAGUGGGGAUUGCACAGUAUUACAGCAUUACAGUAUACUACUUACCCGACUCACUAUCAGCCCCGUUCUGCCGCAGAAGCUCCUACAAAAAGAAGAAAGUAUUAGUACCUAAAAAAAGCGAAUUGGGCAAACAUCAAAGGGAACUCACAGCCUGUAGAUUCUUCCCAGCAGCCACUGCGAGCUCAAGCGCUGGGUGUAAGAAGGAAAAAGCAUUAGACGCCCUCGCCCAACCGGAUCGUCGCAUUCGUGCCAUAGGACUACUACACUGUACUAUUACACUGCACUACCAGAAGAUGCUUGGCAUAAACGCAAUCCUGUCCCAUAAAAUAGUUUGACCAUGCUAGAUGUAAACCUAGAAGUUCUCAAACAAAAGUUGAUAAAAAGUAUCGAACAUUCAAGAGAGAACUUCAAGACGGAUGUAAAUGUCUGCUUUAUUUAGAAAUAUUAAGAAUAGAAAGUUUCGCAUCCAGUUAGUUAAGAUGGCGCACCGGAUCGCACCGGAUCGAUGCUAAAUGCAUUCAAAAAUGAUGAUCGAAAUGAUAGACUGCCAAAUGAAAGACUGAAAAAUGAUAGACUACGAAAUGAUAUGGCUAGGAAAUUCUCAAAACCAUACAGUAAAAAUAUCGGUGCGUAGAUUUGGAAACUUUGUUUACGGGACAUUGUGCAUAUAAGGAAAGAAUUUAAAAAAAAACUUACGAGUUCGUUGGUCCUCGCUAUCUGUUGGCACGUACUUUACCUGAGAAAGAGGACAUUAAAUAAAUGGUUAGUAAAAGAAAAUAGACUUAGAUGAUGGUCAGUAGGAUGAAGGGGUAGGAAAGUGAAAGGAGAGAGUCGAUCAGGUUGAUGGAAGGGAAUACAGGAUUUAACAUACAUCGACUUAGCAAGAUGAAGGGGUAGGAAAGUGAGAAGAGAGAGGUGAGAAGGUUGGACAACAUAACAUACAUUGACUCUGUUGAUAAUCAGUUCAAAGGUCCUCAUGACGUCAUCUGUCUGAACAGACUCGCGUAAUGCCUGAGGAAUUAAUAUAAGCAGAGAGUUACAAGCAAUCACGCCACCAUUUUACGCUAAUAAUAACUUACUCAAAGAAUCCAUUUCCAUCUGCUGAUUCAAGCAAGUAACUGAGAUAUAUUAAAUGAAAUAUCGUUACGACUUCAACCGUGGAUGGUUAUUUAGAAGUUUUGCAAAUAAGCCGUUGUAUUUUCAAUUGUAAACAAUGACAGAGGAGUGGUUGAUCGACAUUUUUAAAUGCUUGAAAAAAGACAUUUCUAAUAAGGUUCGAUUCAGCCCUUGUUGCUUUUGAUGAUCACAAUAUACUAACUUUAGCACGACGUGAGCAUCAAGACGAUGAAAACUAUUAAAUGAUUAAAAAUUAUUCCUUGAGCACGAAUGGGCUUGGGCCUCGUGGUUUAAUGACUCGUGGAUCAGAAGGUUGAGAGGAACUGUUUCAGUGAAAUCACACUAGCUAGUAUGUCAAAUGGCAAAGUCAAAACCGUUCUCUGGUCUGGUCAUCUAGCAUUUUUUGUCUUUCAAAUCCCGCACUUUUUGCUACUGAUAGACUAGGCUACGAGAUCACCCGAUCAGAUAGAUAUUUCACUUCCCUGAUAUUUGCACGGGAACACAGUUCCAUUGAAGUGGAUAUGAAGAGGUCAACACUGUCUAGGCGACACCGAGAUGUGUAGAAGCCCGCUCGUGAGGCCUAACACGAUUGGCUGGAUUACCUCAUUCUUCUAUUGUAAUCCCGUACUAUUGUUUUGAUUUCCAAUGUUUUGUCUGUGCGUGGCGAAUCAAUCAAUGUGGUAAAAUCUUCUGAUAGCUUCUACAUGACCCGACUCACCUGCCCCAAGGCGUCCACAUUGCCGUACUCUGGUAGGAUCUUGCCGUAUUUCUUGUAUUCGUAUUUUGCGCAGAUGAACUCUCUUCUCUUUGCACUGAAAGGUAACACAAGCAUGCAAUCAGGAGAAACUCAACUAGAGUAAUUGCUUGGCAUUUUGUGCUCUAAGCCCAAAGAGCUACUAAGUCAAUUCCGAAUACUAAACAGCCACUCCCGAGUAUCGUCGAUUCGUUCAUUAUUGAAUGAUUUCCGAGAAAUACCGAGAGCUCCUGACGAAUACCUUUACCUUCGCAAAAGGAAAAGGGUGCAUGCAUGGAAUGUUUUCCUGUCAAACUGAGCUCUUAACACAAAAAACGAGUAAUUCCCGAGCCUGCCCCGAACAUUGCCGAGUACUUUCCGAGAGGGGCACGGGUGGAAUUGUUGUCAGUUGUUUACCUGUCCGCAUCCGGUCUUAUCCUGUCGUCAUCCGGGAUCUUGAACUCGAGAAGCUUGUUAGCAUUUUCAUUGCCGAUCUUGACCAUUAACUGGAGAGAUCAAAGAAAUCAACUUUAACCGUAAUAUGAGGAUAUCAAGUCAAACAAGUGAAUUCUUUGGGCCCAAGGAAUCAAGAUGCCUGUAAAAGUUUUUUUUUUGCCAAAAAAGUCAUAACUGGAAAAAAAACUAGUUUGCUUAUUAUUCCCUCGCAAAAGGGCGAACUAACAAGUUCAAAUGUGUGAAAGGUAUUCUAUAAUAAUAAUGAAUAACAUUUAUAUAGUGCUUAUACAUCGCUGUUCUAAGCGCUUCACAAUUCAAAAUAAUAUUUUUAAGAAGUCUAAAAAGUCUAAAAAUCUAAAUCUAAUCUAAAUCUGAAUCUACUGGCGUAUCGAUUUAUAAAUAAAUCAAUUACUAAAUUAAUAAAUUACAGGCUAAGUAGCAAAA
Molecule: long non-coding RNA, 3784 nt
Organism: Nematostella vectensis (starlet sea anemone)
Lineage: Eukaryota; Metazoa; Cnidaria; Anthozoa; Actiniaria; Edwardsiidae
Exons: 2
Source: RefSeq, a predicted model, not a curated record